CGAACUUGCGGGAGCUUGCUCCCAAAAGUUAGCGGCGGACGGGUGAGUAACACGUGGGCAACCUGCCUGUAAGACUGGGAUAACUUCGGGAAACCGGAGCUAAUACCGGAUAAUUCUUUUCUGCUCAUGCAGGAAAGCUGAAAGAUGGUUUCGGCUAUCACUUACAGAUGGGCCCGCGGCGCAUUAGCUAGUUGGUGAGGUAACGGCUCACCAAGGCAACGAUGCGUAGCCGACCUGAGAGGGUGAUCGGCCACACUGGGACUGAGACACGGCCCAGACUCCUACGGGAGGCAGCAGUAGGGAAUCUUCCGCAAUGGACGAAAGUCUGACGGAGCAACGCCGCGUGAGUGAUGAAGGUUUUCGGAUCGUAAAACUCUGUUGUUAGGGAAGAACAAGUACCGGAGUAACUGCCGGUACCUUGACGGUACCUAACCAGAAAGCCACGGCUAACUACGUGCCAGCAGCCGCGGUAGUACGUAGGUGGCAAGCGUUGUCCGGAAUUAUUGGGCGUAAAGCGCGCGCAGGCGGUCCUUUAAGUCUGAUGUGAAAGCCCACGGCUCAACCGUGGAGGGUCAUUGAAAACUGGGGGACUUGGGUGCAGAAGAGGAGAGUGGAAUUCCACGUGUAGCGGUGAAAUGCGUAGAGAUGUGGAGGAACACCAGUGGCGAAGGCGACUCUCUGGUCUGUAACUGACGCUGAGGCGCGAAAGCGUGGGGAGCGAACAGGAUUAGAUACCCUGGUAGUCCACGCCGUAAACGAUGAGUGCUAAGUGUUAGAGGGUUUCCGCCCUUUAGUGCUGCA
Molecule: ribosomal RNA, 801 nt
Filed under: uncultured bacterium
Lineage: Bacteria
Description: bacterial SSU rRNA
Rfam family: Bacterial small subunit ribosomal RNA
Source: RNAcentral